UACGUAGGGUGCGAGCGUUAAUCGGAAUUACUGGGCGUAAAGUGUGCGCAGGUGGCCGCGCAAGUCGAGUGUGAAAUCCCCGAGCUUAACUUGGGAAUUGCGCUCGAAACUACGUGGCUCGAGUGUGGCAGAGGAAGGUGGAAUUCCACGUGUAGCGGUGAAAUGCGUAGAGAUGUGGAGGAACACCGAUGGCGAAGGCAGCCUUCUGGGCCAACACUGACGCUCAUGCACGAAAGCGUGGGGAGCGAACAGG
This 253-nucleotide ribosomal RNA is filed under the name uncultured bacterium. RNAcentral's name for it is "partial 16S ribosomal RNA". It matches the Rfam family "Bacterial small subunit ribosomal RNA", at positions 524 to 776 of the family's 1533-position model. The record is from RNAcentral.